Molecule: long non-coding RNA, 646 nt
Filed under: Neogobius melanostomus (round goby)
Lineage: Eukaryota; Metazoa; Chordata; Actinopteri; Gobiiformes; Gobiidae
Description: lncRNA (ENSNMLG00000023136.1)
Source: RNAcentral
AUUGGAUAAUUCCUAUAAUCGCUCAGCUCUACAUACAGUGGCUGUUUCUCUCACCAUGUAGCAGUCCUCACACUCAGGGGCGCCGUCCCGGUCAUAGAACUGCAUGCCCUGCAGGGGGCGAUGGCAGCUCAAACAACAAAAGCAGUUGGAGUGAAAGAGUUUAUCCAUGGCCCUCACUGCCGGCUGUGUACGGGACAGGGCCUCGCCACAUUUUCCACAUACCUCUGAAAAUAAAAUAAAAAUAAAAUAUUUAGUUAAUCAAACUAAAUUUUAACAUCAGGGGCAACUUCCAGCCACUGAAUUUGUUUGGGCAACUUUAAAGGUAGUUGUAGAUCGUACGUGAUGUUGAGAUUUUAUCAAUUGCAUCUGUGACUUAAACAUGUUCCUCUCGUGUGUUGACAUGGGCAGGUACCUGUUGGAGGCGAGGUGAUGACUGGAGCGUGUGCGUCCAUGUUUUUCAUAAAGUCCUGCGUCAUCCUCUCCAGCUCUUCAACUUCCUUCAUGUUGAGAGGGGCACCUCCACCUUUACCCGGCACAGAGGGCUGUGAAAACAGGCAUCAACUAAGGCUGACCCCCGCAGCAGUGUCUCCGUCCAUAGCAGUCAGGCGAGCGCACCCAUGCUUCUAUAUUUAAACUACAAAGCGAG